RNAcentral lists this transfer RNA (73 nucleotides) under Caenorhabditis remanei. It matches the Rfam family "tRNA". From Rfam's summary of the family: Transfer RNA (tRNA) molecules are approximately 80 nucleotides in length. Lineage: Eukaryota; Metazoa; Nematoda; Chromadorea; Rhabditida; Rhabditidae. The record is from Rfam by way of RNAcentral.
AACACGGUGGUCUUAUGGUUAAAGCUUUUGUCUCUCGUGCAAAAGGUUGUUGGUUCAAUUCCACCCUGCGUUU